RNAcentral lists this ribosomal RNA (425 nucleotides) under uncultured bacterium. RNAcentral's name for it is "partial 16S ribosomal RNA". It matches the Rfam family "Bacterial small subunit ribosomal RNA", at positions 354 to 796 of the family's 1533-position model. The record is from RNAcentral.
GUAGGGAAUAUUGGACAAUGGGGGCAACCCUGAUCCAGCAAUGCCGCGUGAGUGAUGAAGGCCUUAGGGUUGUAAAGCUCUUUUACCCGGGAUGAUAAUGACAGUACCGGGAGAAUAAGCUCCGGCUAACUCCGUGCCAGCAGCCGCGGUAAUACGGAGGGAGCUAGCGUUGUUCGGAAUUACUGGGCGUAAAGCGCGCGUAGGCGGCUGUUUAAGUCAGAGGUGAAAGCCUGGAGCUCAACUCCAGAACUGCCUUUGAGACUGGACAGCUAGAAUCCUGGAGAGGUGAGUGGAAGUCCGAGUGUAGAGGUGAAAUUCGUAGAUAUUCGGAAGAACACCAGUGGCGAAGGCGGCUCACUGGACAGGUAUUGACGCUGAGGUGCGAAAGCGUGGGGAGCAAACAGGAUUAGAUACCCGAGUAGUCC